This 386-nucleotide ribosomal RNA is filed under the name uncultured bacterium. RNAcentral's name for it is "bacterial SSU rRNA". It matches the Rfam family "Bacterial small subunit ribosomal RNA", at positions 29 to 416 of the family's 1533-position model. The record is from RNAcentral.
AUUGAACGCUGGCGGCGUGCUUAACACAUGCAAGUCGAUCGGUAACAGGCCCUUCGGGGUGCUGACGAGAGGCGGACGGGUGAGUAACGCUUGGGAAUCUGCCCAUCAGCGGGGGACAACCCGGGGAAACCCGGGCUAAUACCGCAUACGCUCCAAGGAGGAAAGCAGGGGACCGCAAGGCCUUGCACUGAUGGAUGAGCCCAAGUCGGAUUAGCUUGUUGGUGAGGUAAAGGCUCACCAAGGCGACGAUCCGUAGCUGGUCUGAGAGGACGAUCAGCCACACUGGGACUGAGACACGGCCCAGACUCCUACGGGAGGCAGCAGUGGGGAAUAUUGGACAAUGGGGGAAACCCUGAUCCAGCGACGCCGCGUGAGUGAAGAAGGCC